UACGUAGGGGGCUAGCGUUGUCCGGAAUCAUUGGGCGUAAAGAGCUCGUAGGUGGUUUGUCGCGUUGUUCGUGAAAACUCACAGCUUAACUGUGGGCGUGCGGGCGAUACGGGCAGACUGGAGUACUGCAGGGGAGACUGGAAUUCCUGGUGUAGCGGUGAAAUGCGUAGAUAUCGAGAGGAACACCUGCGGCGAAGGCGGGUUGCUGGGCUGAUACUGACGCUGAGGCGCGAAAGCCAGGGGAGCGAACGGG
RNAcentral lists this ribosomal RNA (253 nucleotides) under uncultured bacterium. RNAcentral describes it as "partial 16S ribosomal RNA". It matches the Rfam family "Bacterial small subunit ribosomal RNA", at positions 524 to 776 of the family's 1533-position model. The record is from RNAcentral.